Molecule: long non-coding RNA, 5984 nt
Filed under: Homo sapiens (human)
Lineage: Eukaryota; Metazoa; Chordata; Mammalia; Primates; Hominidae
Description: non-protein coding lnc-GBE1-12:1
Source: RNAcentral
GGGACUGCCAGCUGUGGGAAGAAGCUACCCACUUCAGGUCUUCCUGACUUGUUGGGCCGACCUGCCUAUGGAAAGGGGCUACCCACUGCAGGUCUCCUGAUAGCUGUUCUGUUACUCAGUGAAGCUUCUCUCUGCCUUACUCACUUUCCAGUUGUCCACGUACUUCAUUCUUCCUGGAUGUAGGACAAGAACUCUGGACCUGGCAAAUGGCGGUGAGAGGUGUCAGCGUGCUGGCAGUCCUCACAGCCCUCGCUCGCUCUCGGCGCCUCCUCUGCCUGGGCUCCCACUUUGGCGGCACUUGAGGAGCCCUUCAGCCUGCCGCUGCACUGUGGGAGCCACUUCCUGGGCUGGCCGAGGCCGGAGCCGGCUCCCUCAGCUUGCAGGGAGGUGUGAAGGGAGAGGCGCGAGCCGGAACCGGGGCUGCGCGCGGCGCUUCCGGGCCAGCUGGAGUUCCGGGUGGGCGUGGGCCUGGCUGGCCCCGCACUCGGAGCAGCCGGCCGGCCCUGCCGGCCCCGGGCAAUGAGGGGCUUCGCACCCGGGCCAGCAGCUGCGGAGGGUGUACUGGGUCCCCCAGCAGUGCCGGCCCACCGGCGCUGCGCUCAAUUUCUCGCCGGGCCUUAGCUGCCUUCCCGCGGGAAAGGGCUCAGGACCUGCAGUCCGCCAUGCCUGAGCCGCCCACCUUCUCCGUAAAUCCUGCUGCUGCUCACUCUGGGUGCACACUGCCUUUAUGAGCUGUAACACCGCGAAGGUCUGCAGUUUCACUCCUGAGCCCGCGAGACCACGAAUCCACCAGAAGGAAGAAACUCGGAACACAUCCGAACAUCAGGAGGAACAAACUCCAGACGCGGCACCUUAAGAGCUGUAACACUCACCGCGAGGGUCCGCGGCUUCAUUCUUGAAGUCAGUGAGACCAAGAACCCACCAUUUCCGGACACAGCGGGACUAAAAGAGCUGUAACCACAAACAGGGCUGAAACACACGCCCCUGAUUGUCACUUUGCAUGUGAGGAGAAGGAGAGAAGAGCUGCGGCUUUUUGGGGAGCCCAGAUCUCGUGGCUCCCUGAGCCAGGUUUGUGACUCCCUCUUUGGGGCUCUGUGGUUCCUGGCAUCACUAAACUUCCAGGCAUCACCGUGCUCCCCUUGUCCAGACACGGUACCCGCAGCCUGCAUGCUGUACAUCUGGUCCAGCCUCAGUCUUUCACGGAGCUGGCACCUCUGCUGGCUCCUGGAGCUACCCACCCGCCACAGCAGCUGGCGAGCCUGGCUGUGUGCAGCGGAUGGACCCAGCACUUGCUUGCCCACGCAUUUUUCACCACUUCGUGCCUGGCUUGCUUUUGGCAGGUGUGGGAUCCCGGCCAGUAGCAAAAGCCAAGUGCAGCCUGCCAGACCCAGUAGGCAGAACAAGCCCAGCAGGCCAGAGCAAAAACUUGGGCGAAGGUACCACCAGCCACAGAGGUUUCCAGCUGGUGAAGUAACACCCCAAAGAUCUUGUGAUAUAACUGGAUGUAUUCUCAGAAAUACGGAACAUAUUUAUUCAGAUAUGGCUAAGCAAACCGGGAAACAAAACAAGAACAUGAUUAAAACAUUUUAUUCUCAAAAUUCUGAGGUCUCAGCAGACAACAUGCAUACUUGAAACUAUCAUGGUUCAAAUAAAUACACAAAUAAAUAAAUCAUUAUGGUGUCUGACAAUACUCUCAACUGUUGAAACUACGGGAUUUAAAUGCAACAUAUUAAGAAAAUGCUUUAUUUUUCUAAUAUCUCAACCUAUUGAAGUAUCUGGAACACUUUAAAGUAAUAUUUCUUAGUGCAAAUGUAUUCAUUUACGUAUACAGUUGUCUCUUGUAGGAUUUACAUGCGUCCCAUCCUCUUGAGGACACUAAAGGGAUCACAUCAGCGAAGUAACAGUGCUCUGUAAUCUCUUGGUUGUGCUCUGAAUGUGCACUUUGCUUUUCAUUCCAAAUAUCAGCCCCUCUCUGGAGGGGUAUAGGUACCUCAUUUUCUCCAUUCUCACGUAUUUUUUACUGUAAACGCCCAGGUUUCAGUCUUUUUCAAACAGAUUAUCACCUCUCAUUACCCUUGUUGGUUACAAUCAACCACAGAUGUCCUGGUUAUUUAACCUUUUUGUUAAAAUAUUCCUGUCAUAAUAUUUGGUAAUGUUUAUAUUCAUGUUGACAACGAGAGGAUAUCAAAGCCUCUGACUUCCUUAAUCUUUUCAGGGAGUUUUCCUCUACACUACCUCAGCAGUGAUAUUAUUACUAAGAAUUUUACCCAUAGCUGAUUCUCAGUUUCAAGCACCCAACAUUCCUAGUAACUACUUUCCCAUUUCUCUCCCAAAAGUACCCUGGCUACAUUUUUUUAACUUAAUAGAUGUGAAAAUUUAUUGAUUCUAACCAACAUUGGUAUUUUCUUUACCUGCCUCACAUGCUCAAUUUCCUUUCUUUCUCCAAAAUACAUGCCUGGAAAAAUGUCACCUUUAUUAAAUUGAUCGUUCUACUGUUUCAUUGGCUGAAUCUGUGCCACUAAAUGGGGAUGGAGAAAAACAAACUGAACUAAAUUAAAUGGUCUUUAAAUUUAUUACCCACCAGUGACUGCUGGGCCCUUACUGCUGUCUGAUAAUCCUACCAUAUUUUCUCAUUUUUCUCAAAACCUUGCUUAACUUACAUUAGCUCUACUAAUGAUUUUAUUGGUUCUUUUGGAUUCUAUGUAGACAAUAAUCCAUCUGUAAAUAAAUUCCAUUUUAUUUUAUUCAUUUCUAUACAAAUUUUAUUCUCUUUGGUUACUACUGAGGACUUCUAGUCCAUUGUUGUAUAGCAGUAGUGUGAGAGGACAUCCUUGCUUUGCUCCUGAUCUUAAUAUCCCAUAUUUUAUUUAAUACACUACAAUUAUCUUUCUUUCAUACAAUUCCACUGAAACUGCUAAUGAAGAUAAGCCAUGAAACACAUACUGCUUGUAUGUUUUCAGACUUUAUUCUUUUUAGAGCAGUUUUAGGAUCACCUCAAAAUCAACGGGAAGGUACAAAGGUAUUCCAUAUAACCCCUUCCCCUACACAUGCAUAGCCUCACCAAUUAUCCAUAUCCCCCCACCAGAGUGGUGCAUUUGUUAUAAUUGAUGAGCCAAUACUGACACAUCAUAAUCACCCAAAGUCUGUGGUUUACUUAAGGGUUCAAUCUCAGUGCUGUACAAUCUACGGGUUUAGACAAAUGCAUAAUCGUAUCUAUUCGUAAUUACAGUAUUUCCACUGUCCUAAAAUUUCUCUGUGCUCUGCCUGCUCAUCAUUCUCCUACCAACUCCUAGUGACAAAUUACUGAAACUUGUACUAUAUAUAUGGCUUUGUCUUUUUCAUAAUGUUAUGUAGUUGGAAUCAUACAGUAGGUAGCCUUUUCAGAUUAGCUUCUUUCACUAAGUAAUAUACAUUUAAGGUCUCUCCAUGUUUUUUUCACCACUUGAUAGCUUAUUAUUUUAAGCAAUGAGCAAUAUUAUCUGAAUGUACCAGUUUAUUUAUUUAAAUGGUUAGUACUCAGAUCUUUUGCCUGACCUAUUUGGAACACUUGAAUCCAUUAAUGACUUCUUUCUUUGGCUCUGCAAUAUUAAAUACUGCUAAAUUUUAUUAUCUAUUUAUGAGCUUUUUUAAAAAAAAUUGUCCUUGGUAUUUUCUCCUUAUCUAUUCAACUUUUGAAUUUCAAUUGCCUCAGGGCUCAAGCCUCAGGAUUCUUUUAUUAUUUGGACCUGUUUCUUAAAUUUUUCUCUCCUAGUUUCAUAGCUUCCAUAACAUGUAAAUACCAUCAAGCUAUAGUUCUCUAAUAUGUGUGUGUGUGUGAACACAUACACGCACGCACACACACACACACAGGGAAUGCAAGUCUAUCUACCAGAGUACAGAUUCAUAUGUCUAAAGAUGCAUGACACAUUUUCUUGGAUUUCUAAUAGGUAUAUCAAAUUUAGCAAUUCAAAAUUAGCAAUUCAAACUGAUUGUUUUGCAUUCUUUUCUACCUGAGGAAUUAGCAAUUCUACUAUUUCCAAGUUCCUUGGACCAACCAUCUUAAAGUCAUUUUUUAAUGCUUUGCUUCAAACAUGCCUUAUAGUAGAUUCUAUAGCAAAUUCUGUUUGUUUUACCUCCAAAACAUGCCAGCAUCCAAUGCCUCUCAACACAUCUGUUUCAAUCCCAUCAAUCCCAAUCAAGCCAACAUUAUCUCUACUAGAUUAUCUCAUAGCCGGCAAGCUGUUAUUUAUGCUUCUGCUUUUGAUUCCUCUUCCCAAUCCACUCCAAACAUGAUAGAGAGAUUGUAUUGAGUGAUGCUUCUGUCCUCCACUCUCAAAUGGCUUCCUAUUUUUUUUGUUUGUUUGUUUCAUAUUGGAAUGUUUAAAGUUGAAAUCCUCACAAAAGAUUUUCAGGUACUCUCUUCUCCCUUCCAAGAGUCUGACUUUAUUUCCUACUACUUCUUCCUUUUCACCCUCUGAUCCAGGCCCCUGAACCUUCUUUGUGUUCUUCUAACGUGGCAAAUACAUAACAGCGCAGUUUUUUGGACUUGCUAUUCCUGAGCCUUAAACAUUCUUCUCCCUGGUACCCCCACAGUUCAGGUUCUCAUAUCCUUCAGGUGUCUUAUCACCUGUUACCUUAUUUUUAAGGACUUCCUUGACCAUUCUCUUUAAAAUAGUAACCCUUUAUUUUAGUACCUUUUAAAUUGUGUUUUAUUUUCUUUAUAAAUAUAGAAUUUAAAAUGCUAUUUUUGAAAUUAUGUUCUUCCUAAGUAGGGUAGCUUUUUGUUUAUUUGCUCACUACUACAUCUCAACUGUGUAAUCGUUUUCAUGGCACAAAAAGAGAACCUGAUAUAUUUGAAUGAAUACAUGAGUGAAAGAGAAAUAUUUUUUCUUUUAUUUUAAAAGUUUUUCUCUGUUAUAUGAAUGUUCUUAUCAGUAACAGAUCAAUGUUAAUUGUUUUAGAAUAAGGUAGGGAGACCAAAACAGCAAAUUUAAUGUCAGAGUAACAAUGUGUAAAGAAAAGAGUCUUUUAUUGUGAAACAUAUUAUUACAUUGUUUCCUCUAUUUCUAAUGGAAAGUAUAUUUUUAGAAUAUUAAAUCAUUAUAAAGUAAUGAAAAUCAUUUGCAAGAAAUACAUAAAUAUAUGAUAAACACAAUCAUCUGAAGUGCUUCAAGUUUUAGAAAAUGCACUUUAAAUUAUAUAUUUUACUUUCAAGAAGAGAACAUUGUAGAUCAUUAUACUCCCAUAUUAAUAUCAGUUUAACCAAAUUUUGUGUGGACGAUGGCACAUAUGGCAAAAGAAUUUUAUUUUCACUUUGACAGCAACUGCAUUUAAAAAAAUAACUACAGAUAACUAUGUGAGGUGAAGAAUAUGUUAAUUAGCUUGACUGUGCUAAUCAUUUUACAAAGUAUACAUAUAUAUAUCAAAAUAUGUUAUACACCUUAAAUAUAGAUAAUUUUUAUUUAUGAAUCAUAUGUUAGUGAAGCUGGAAGUGUAAAAAUUAAAAGCUUCUACAGAGAAAAAUAAAACAAAAAACACAAGUUACUACAAACGCUUAAAGCUAGAAAUUACUACAUUAAGGUAUAGAAAUCGAAACUACUCACAAUUUUAGCAAAAACUUCACAUUUUUCUGAUAUGUAAAUUUUCAGUCAUUGUUCCUGAUCUACCCCUUAAUGUGCUUGGGUGGUUAGUUAUCAUAUAUUAAUUGUUUCAAUCAAAAUGAAACCCACAUGCUUAUUAAAAGCAUAGGUUACUCAUCAAAUUAAAAAUGCCCAUGAUAAUAUAAAUGUGUCUAGACUCAAGGUAUGCACUGCCCAAAGAUAAUCUGAAGACAUGAACACUUGAUACAGCAAUAAACUAUUUGGAAUGCAAAAAAAUAAAUGUGAAUGUUAUUUUUUUAUCCAAAUGGGAAACACCAGAAUAUAAAUUUUCUGCUUCAACUCAAAAGUGAUUGCCUCAUUAAACUUUAUACAAUAAUGUUACCUUCCAGUAUCUUUAUUAUUUCC